RNAcentral lists this ribosomal RNA (468 nucleotides) under uncultured bacterium. Its description in RNAcentral is "partial 16S ribosomal RNA". It matches the Rfam family "Bacterial small subunit ribosomal RNA", at positions 28 to 507 of the family's 1533-position model. The record is from RNAcentral.
GACGAACGCUGGCGGCGUGCUUAACACAUGCAAGUCGAACGGAAAGGCCCUGCUUUUGUGGGGUGCUCGAGUGGCGAACGGGUGAGUAACACGUGAGUAACCUGCCCUUGACUUUGGGAUAACUUCAGGAAACUGGGGCUAAUACCGGAUAGGAGCUCCUGCUGCAUGGUGGGGGUUGGAAAGUUUCGGCGGUUGGGGAUGGACUCGCGGCUUAUCAGCUUGUUGGUGGGGUAGUGGCUUACCAAGGCUUUGACGGGUAGCCGGCCUGAGAGGGUGACCGGCCACAUUGGGACUGAGAUACGGCCCAGACUCCAACGGGAGGCAGCAGUGGGGAAUAUUGCACAAUGGGCAGAAGCCUGAUGCAGCAACGCCGCGUGCGGGAUGACGGCCUUUGGGUUGUAAACCGCUUUCGCCUGUGACGAAGCGUGAGUGACGGUAAUGGGUAAAGAAGCACCGGCUAACUACGUG